This 468-nucleotide ribosomal RNA is filed under the name uncultured bacterium. RNAcentral describes it as "partial 16S ribosomal RNA". It matches the Rfam family "Bacterial small subunit ribosomal RNA", at positions 28 to 507 of the family's 1533-position model. The record is from RNAcentral.
GACGAACGCUGGCGGCGUGCUUAACACAUGCAAGUCGAACGGAAAGGCCCUGCUUUUGUGGGGUGCUCGAGUGGCGAACGGGUGAGUAACACGUGAGUAACCUGCCCUUGACUUUGGGAUAACUUCAGGAAACUGGGGCUAAUACCGGAUAGGAGCUCCUGCUGCAUGGUGGGGGUUGGAAAGUUUCGGCGGUUGGGGAUGGACUCGCGGCUUAUCAGCUUGUUGGUGGGGUAGUGGCUUACCAAGGCUUUGACGGGUAGCCGGCCUGAGAGGGUGACCGGCCACAUUGGGACUGAGAUACGGCCCAGACUCCUACGGGAGGCAGCAGUGGGGAAUAUUGCACAAUGGGCGGAAGCCUGAUGCAGCAACGCCGCGUGCGGGAUGACGGCCUUCGGGUUGUAAUCCGCUUUCGCCUGUGACGAGGCGUGAGUGACGGUAAUGGGUAAAGAAGCACCGGCUAACUACGUG